AAUUCCCAAAAGUGGAUAGCUAUGAAAUCAAGAAGUAUUAAUAGUAUGAGUGAAGACUGAAGUUCUUCACAGGAUGCCUCAGUCACCCAAUAGUCUAUGUUUCCCCAAGGAGAUGCAAGA
Molecule: small nucleolar RNA, 120 nt
Filed under: Chinchilla lanigera (long-tailed chinchilla)
Lineage: Eukaryota; Metazoa; Chordata; Mammalia; Rodentia; Chinchillidae
Description: Small nucleolar RNA SNORA25 (ENSCLAG00000018601.1)
Source: RNAcentral